Molecule: transfer RNA, 72 nt
Filed under: Bacteroidales bacterium
Lineage: Bacteria; Pseudomonadati; Bacteroidota; Bacteroidia; Bacteroidales
Also listed under: 1 other name
Description: tRNA-Arg
Rfam family: tRNA
About the family: Transfer RNA (tRNA) molecules are approximately 80 nucleotides in length. Their secondary structure includes four short double-helical elements and three loops (D, anti-codon, and T loops).
Source: RNAcentral
GCCCUCGUAGUUCAACGGAUAGAAUGGAAGUUUCCUAAACUUUAGAUCAGGGUUCGAUUCCCCGCGAGGGUA